UGAGCGCACUAAAAUGAUUACGAAGGCUUU
RNAcentral lists this non-coding RNA (30 nucleotides) under Mus musculus (house mouse). Lineage: Eukaryota; Metazoa; Chordata; Mammalia; Rodentia; Muridae. The record is from RNAcentral.